UACGUAGGGUGCAAGCGUUGUCCGGAAUUAUUGGGCGUAAAGAGCUUGUAGGCGGUUUGUCGCGUCUGCUGUGAAAUUUCGGGGCUCAACCCCGAACUUGCAGUGGGUACGGGCAGACUAGAGUGUGGUAGGGGAGACUGGAAUUCCUGGUGUAGCGGUGAAAUGCGCAGAUAUCGGGAGGAACACCAAUUGCGAAGGCAGCUCGCUGGGACGUAACUGACGCUGAGACGCGAAAGCGUGGGGAGCAAACAGG
Molecule: ribosomal RNA, 253 nt
Filed under: uncultured bacterium
Lineage: Bacteria
Description: partial 16S ribosomal RNA
Rfam family: Bacterial small subunit ribosomal RNA
Source: RNAcentral